UAAUACAGAGGUCCCAAGCGUUGUUCGGAUUCACUGGGCGUAAAGGGUGCGUAGGUGGCUGGGUAAGUUUGAUGUGAAAUCUCCGGGCUUAACCCGGAAAUGGCAUUGAAUACUAUUCGGCUGGAGGUUUGGAGGGGGGACUGGAAUUCUCGGUGUAGCAGUGAAAUGCGUAGAUAUCGAGAGGAACACCAGUGGCGAAGGCGAGUCCCUGGACAACACCUGACACUGAGGCACGAAAGCUAGGGGAGCAAACAGGAUUAGAUACCCUGGUAGUCCUAGCUGUAAACGGUGCAUAUUUGCUGUAAAAGGAAUCGACCCCUUUUGUGGCGAAGCUAACGCGAUAAAUAUGCCGCCUGGGAAGUACGGUCGCAAGAUUA
This 377-nucleotide ribosomal RNA is filed under the name uncultured bacterium. RNAcentral describes it as "bacterial SSU rRNA". It matches the Rfam family "Bacterial small subunit ribosomal RNA", at positions 521 to 896 of the family's 1533-position model. The record is from RNAcentral.